Molecule: non-coding RNA, 733 nt
Organism: Pelobates cultripes (western spadefoot toad)
Lineage: Eukaryota; Metazoa; Chordata; Amphibia; Anura; Pelobatidae
Source: the annotation of a GenBank genome assembly
UUCCUAUAUUCAAAAAGGGUUCAAAAUCCUUGCCUGGAAAUUAUAGACCUGUGAGCUUAACUUCUGUGGCUGGUAAAAUAUUUGAAAGGUUAUUAAGGGAUAAUAUUCAAGAAUUCCUUGAGAAGAACAUGGUUAUCAGCAAAAAUCAGCAUGGUUUUAUGAAGCACAGGUCAUGUCAAACUAACUUGAUUGCGUUCUACGAAGAAGUAAGUAGAAGUAUAGAUCAGGGUGUUGCCGUGGAUGUGAUCUAUUUGGAUUUUGCCAAGGCAUUUGAUACAGUUACACACAAUAGAUUAGUGUUCAAACUCAAGGAAAUCGGUCUAGAUGAAAAUGCUUGUUCUUGGGUAGAACAUUGGCUUAAAAACAGAGUACAAAGAAUUGUCAUUAAUGGUAUAUUUUCAAGCUGGACAGAGGUGACAAGUGGUGUCCCUCAGGGGUCUGUUCUGGGACCACUUCUAUUUAACAUGUUUAUAAAUGAUCUUGAAGACCGCAUUGAAAGUCAUGUUUCAGUGUUUGCAGAUGACACCAAACUUUGUAAAAUAAUACAAUGUGAGCAAGAUAUUAAUUUGCUGCAGAGGGAUUUAGAUAGACUGGGGGACUGGGCACUCAAAUGGCAGAUUAAAUUUAAUGUUGAAAAAUGCAAAGUUAUGCACUUCGGCGUAAAGAAUACACAAGCAACGUAUACCCUUAAUGGAAGCGAAUUAGGGAUAACAACACAUGAAAAUGACUUAGG